This 1445-nucleotide ribosomal RNA is filed under the name Pseudomonas aeruginosa. Its description in RNAcentral is "partial 23S ribosomal RNA". It matches the Rfam family "Bacterial large subunit ribosomal RNA", at positions 473 to 1933 of the family's 2925-position model. The record is from RNAcentral. RNAcentral also lists the same sequence under 2 other names. Lineage: Bacteria; Pseudomonadati; Pseudomonadota; Gammaproteobacteria; Pseudomonadales; Pseudomonadaceae.
CUACCUGAUGACCGAUAGUGAAGCAGUACCGUGAGGGAAAGGUGAAAAGAACCCCGGGAGGGGAGUGAAAUAGAACCUGAAACCGUGUGCCUACAACCGCUCAGAGCCCCUUAUGAGGGUGAUGAGGUGCUUUUUGUAGAACGAGCCAACGAGUUACGGUAUGUAGCAAGGUUAAGUACUUAAGGUACGGAGCCGAAGGGAAACCGAGUCUGAAUAGGGCGACUAGUUGCAUGCCGUAGACCCGAAACCGGGUGACCUAUCCAUGGCCAGGUUGAAGCGAGGGUAAAACCUCGUGGAGGACCGAACCACGUUGCUGUUGAAAAAGCAUGGGAUGAGCUGUGGAUAGCGGAGAAAUUCCAAUCGAACCCGGAGAUAGCUGGUUCUCUCCGAAAUAGCUUUAGGGCUAGCGUCGAGUAUGAGUAGUGGAGGUAGAGCACUGAAUGGGCUAGGGGGCAUAGCGCUUACCGAACCUUAUCAAACUCCGAAUGCCACAUACUUUGAGCUCGGCAGUCAGACUACGAAUGAUAAGAUCCGUGGUCAAAAGGGAAACAGCCCAGAUCGUCAGCUAAGGUCCCAAAGUGUAAGUUAAGUGGGAAAGGAUGUGAGAUUUCUAAGACAACUAGGAUGUUGGCUUAGAAGCAGCCAUUCAUUAAAAGAGUGCGUAAUAGCUCACUAGUCGAGAGAUCUUGCGCCGAAAAUGUAACGGGGCUAAACUUACCACCGAAGCUACGGGCUUGAACUUAGUUCAAGCGGUAGGAGAGCGUCGUAACCGGGCUGAAGUCGUACCGUAAGGAGCGGUGGACUGGUUACGAGUGAGAAUGUUGGCAUCAGUAGCGAGAUGUGGGUGAGAAUCCCACAGGCCGAAAACCUAAGGUUUCCUCAGGAAGGUUCGUCCGCUGAGGGUUAGUCGGGACCUAAGCCGAGGCCGAAAGGCGUAGGUGAUGGACAACUGGUUGAUAUUCCAGUACCACUACCAUCGUUAUUAUCGAUGGCGUGACGCAGGAGGAUAGUGUGUGCUAGCUAUUGGAUGCUAGUCUAAGCGUUUAGGCAGUGAGAGUAGGCAAAUCCGCUCUCAUAAUGCUGAGGCGUGAUGGGGAAGGUUCUACGGAACCGAAGUACAUGAUUCCACGCUGCCAAGAAAAGCGUCUAGAGAGAGAAGUAGUGCCCGUACCGCAAACCGACACAGGUAGGUGAGGAGAGAAUCCUAAGGCCGGCGGAAGAAUUACAGUUAAGGAACUCGGCAAAUUGACCCCGUAAGUUCGCGAGAAGGGGUGCCUACGAGAGUAGGCCGCAGAGAAUAGGCCCAAGCAACUGUUUAGCAAAAACACAGGUCUCUGCUAAAGCGUAAGCUGAUGUAUAGGGGCUGACGCCUGCCCGGUGCUGGAAGGUUAAGGGGAACACUUAGCGCAAGCGAAGGUGUGAACUUAAGCCCCAGUAAACGGCGG